Molecule: non-coding RNA, 3320 nt
Organism: Malus domestica (apple)
Lineage: Eukaryota; Viridiplantae; Streptophyta; Magnoliopsida; Rosales; Rosaceae
Source: RefSeq, a predicted model, not a curated record
GUAUUUGUCCACGCUGCCCACGCGUCGAUCAUCGUCGACUGCUCCGCUUCCACCAUCUCGAAUUUUCCUUCGGUUUCGACUUCUUUCUCUCACAAAGCUGGACUUUUCAUUUUCUUCCGGUAGUCCUCCAUUUGGUACACGAACUCCUGUUCUCUCUCCCUAUUUUGCACGAACCAGAACAUAUGUUGUCUAUCCCGUUCCGAUUCAAAUAAAUUCCUGAAGGGGCUUAGAUUUCGUGUCCAAUUCCACUCUGCCAUACCCAGGAAAGCUUGGCUUCCGUUCUGAUUUGAAGAAAUUUUAAACCCAGAAAGCUUGGGUUUCCAGUCCCGACAAAAGUACUUGGAGACUUGCAGCAGAUGCAAACUCUCUUCUUAUCUAAAACUGUUUACUAUCAGGUCUUUCUUGUGUCACAUGGGUAUCAUGGAUUGCUCAAAAAUGUCUCAAAGACGUAAAGAGAUUUAUUAUGUAGCUCCGACUAUGCGGACUACGAAGCUAGCAAACAAUGGUGCAGAAAUUGCUGUUUGUUCUUGCUAAGACUGUUUUCACUUGGUUCUCUGGAGACUAUCAUUUACACAGUCACCGCAUUAUUACUUGCACAAUCGUUGUACUCCAUCUGCUUCUCUGGGUUCGUCGAUGGGACUCUUCGCCUGCAUCCUUUUUUGCAUGCGGACUUGCACAGUCGCCAUAAUUAGAGCAGAGGCAACUUUUUUUUUUUUUUUUUUUAAGCGGGCUUUGAGUAUUAGUGCAGUCACUCUCUAUAUAAGUAGGGUAGACUUUGAUUUAAGUAAUACAACAUCGGGUUUUGACUUUGCCUCUUGCUGUACUUCGACAACCUUCGCUUGCUCUUCGUUGUGUGCUGCCUUAUUGCUUUGAUCCCAAAGCUGUUCGUCCCAUUAGAGAUCCUAGCAUGCCGCUUUCUUUUCUGGAGAUCAUUGUAUAUACAUACGUAUAUAAUUGCACCGCAACUGCCUUUCGUGUUGCUUUAACGUUGCACUACCUGCCAUUCUUGCUUCACCACCCUCGCUGUACUGCCAUUCUUGCUGCAUUGUCUUGUUUCUUUGCUGCGACGUGUUCUUCGCGUCUGUCGUGUGGUGACCUCGGUGCUUGGACAAGAAGAGUGGCUACGAGUGCAGGUUUGAACCACAAGAGCGAGUUGCUGUUCGUGGGAGUUCAGUUGCAGUGGAAAGAGAGAGAGAUGUUGCUGCAAAGGGGAAGAAGAUAAGAUAUGGCAUAGCAAAUUCCUCCGUGCAAUUUCUCUCAGCAGAGCACGACUCCAAUCCUUUGGGUUAUAUGAUAGAGAGAGACGUUGCUGCAGACAGGAAGAAGAGAAGGCAGGGUAUAGCAAAUUCCUUCGUGCAACCUUCAUUUUGUGAGGCCUUUUUUUUAUUUUUUGUUUUUUAUUUUUUAAGUAAUAGAUUUGACAUGUGUGUGUGUGUGUAUAUAUAUAUAUAUAUGUAUGUACACAGACAUUGAUUGUCCCAUCACCUUUUGUGUGUGUGUGUGUGUGUAUAGAUAUAAUAUGAUGUGUCUAUUUUUUAUGCACAAUGUAUAUGCCCCCACUGAUGGAUUUCUUUACUGUGAUGCUAGAAUUCUUUUAAUUUUGAGAAGGCAGAGCAUAAUGCUGAGAUCCUUAUGAAGUUUUUAAGAGACGUGGUAGUAGGACGUGAGUGUAUUUGCUGCCUAGUGCUUGUGCAAGAGACUGCAACGAGGUUUUGCUGUGUAUUGCCUUUUGAUCACUGUUUUCCCUCGAUGGUACGCUGCCGUGUGGUGCUGUGCAAGAGACUGCAACGGGGCUUCACUGUGUAAUGCGUGACGUCAACGUGCGAUGCAAGAAACUGCUUGCGUAGUCGCUGCGGGUUUGUGUAGUGCAAUUACGUAACAUUUUGGUUUCUUUUGCUACUGUAGCGUGCCUUGAAGGACCGCUCUGUAGCUGCCCUCUUUGUCGUGCUGCUCAAGUUUUGUGGCUGAUUUUUUUUUUUUUGUUUUGCGGUUAUGAUGUUUUUCAAAUGUUUUAAGAACACCAUCACCUUUCUUGCGAAGGAAGAUGAUUCGCAAGAUGAAGGAACAACGUUGAAGCUUUACGCGCCAUUGACUGGUCCUAAGGCGCUUGCUCUUCUCGCGAAAGACAACUCUAUGCAUAUUAAGUCGUGGUCCUUUGAAGUAUCUUGGGAUGUGGUACACUCUGUUCUACCAAAUACGAAGAAAAAGGCGUGCACAUCGAUGAUUCUUAUUUUGAAUCUUUUGCACCAUGCUCGUGAUCAUCAUCCGGCCUCGUUUAAACUUCUUGGUGAUCACAUCCACAGCGGAGCCAUGACUUGGAAUGGUACCCUAUCGACUACUGGAAAAGCUGUCUUUGAUGAGUUUUAUUGGGAGUGACUUGAAGAUGUCCUAAGCCGAUCUAAAGAUGUACUUACUAACGUGGGCCUUUACCACGCUGUGUAUGCAUUUUUGUUUAGUUAUGAUCGUCAUCCUUCCGUCAUUCGUGCGUUCUUUGAGCAUUGGUGUUCAGCGACCAACACACUUGACACGGCACAAUGGGAGAUGUCAAUUUCACUUUGGGAUCUUUAUAGGAUAUGAGGCUUGCCGAUCCAAGGUAAGUUUUAUGACGAUGUCGUUCCCAGCGCGGAUGAACUUUCUCUUUGCAAUAGCUGAGAAUUGCAUGUGAGUUGCCGUUAUUUGUUUUGGGCGUAUCACAAGCUUUUCCAGGAUGCUCAAGGUAAAUUGAGGAUUUCAUCAUGGAUCAGAUUUUGGUUUACUGGGAGGCCAUGAGGUAUAAGCAGUGUUCUAAAAAUCGGCCUAGGCGGUGCCUAGGCGCUGGGCAGUGGCCAACCGUCGAGAUUAAUGCAAAAUCGGGAGAAAAAUUGGGACAUGGAUUAGGUGGGUGCUGAGGCGACUUGAGUGGCCCUUGGGCGGCCUAGGUGGUCUGGGAAUUUCAAUUUUUUGUGUUCGAACUUGAGAAAUGAUGAAUGCAUAUUAGCUGUGUUCUGGUUUUUCUGGGUUUCAUGAGUUGCCUGUGUUCUUGCGAAGAGGAAGAAGAUGAGAAAAAACUAAUUUCUCUCUCUUCCUUCCACACCCACGUGAUCACUUUCAAAUUAUUUAAUGUAAUUUUUGUUUUGUUUUGUUUCUAUCCAAUUGGAUAGCUAGCUUGACUUUUAUAAAGAAAAAAGGCUGUCACCUAUCAAUCCAUCCAUAGCAUCAAGUGCUAUUAAUUUUUUUCCUAUUAAAAAAACAUUAGAUUGUCAGGCCGUUUCAUAGCAUAAGUCCUAUUGAUUUUCUAUACUUGUUAGAUACACAUUUUAUUAUUUUUUUACUAUCUUAUU